UUUUCAGUUUUCCUCGGUAGUUAACUGCCGAAGUUUUCCUCGGCAAUUAACUGCCGAGGGGUAU
RNAcentral lists this microRNA precursor (64 nucleotides) under Medicago truncatula (barrel medic). RNAcentral's name for it is "MIR2629 microRNA precursor family". It matches the Rfam family "MIR2629 microRNA precursor family". Lineage: Eukaryota; Viridiplantae; Streptophyta; Magnoliopsida; Fabales; Fabaceae. The record is from Rfam by way of RNAcentral.